Molecule: ribosomal RNA, 253 nt
Filed under: uncultured bacterium
Lineage: Bacteria
Description: partial 16S ribosomal RNA
Rfam family: Bacterial small subunit ribosomal RNA
Source: RNAcentral
UACGGAGGGAGCUAGCGUUGUUCGGAAUUACUGGGCGUAAAGCGCGCGUAGGCGGUUACUCAAGUCAGAGGUGAAAGCCCGGGGCUCAACCCCGGAACUGCCUUUGAAACUAGGUAACUAGAAUCUUGGAGAGGUCAGUGGAAUUCCGAGUGUAGAGGUGAAAUUCGUAGAUAUUCGGAAGAACACCAGUGGCGAAGGCGACUGACUGGACAAGUAUUGACGCUGAGAUGCGAAAGCGUGGGGAGCAAACAGG